RNAcentral lists this long non-coding RNA (780 nucleotides) under Mus pahari (shrew mouse). Its description in RNAcentral is "predicted gene 15866 (MGP_PahariEiJ_G0002447.1)". The record is from RNAcentral. Lineage: Eukaryota; Metazoa; Chordata; Mammalia; Rodentia; Muridae.
ACUGCAAUAGCCCAGUGCCUCCGUGAAGGCUCUAUUUCACAUCCCAACAACACGGAACAAAUUGCACAAACGCAAGGAAUUAGAUCCCUUGGUAACAAACAUUGAAGUCACUUUUUAAAAUGUCACCAAAUGGCUCUGUUAACUCUGUUUUGUAACAAGUGAGAGGCAGAUGGCACUUUGAAGUGUAUGAUGCAUCUUGGAAGAGCAGAAUUGCUCAGGCAUUUUUGUCUGGUUUGCCAAGAUGAAGCGACAAUGCCCCAGAUGAAAGGCGCUUGGCAUGCUCUCACACAAGAGGCUGGGUACCAUUGAGUAUCACACUGUUCGCUUUUGGCACAAGUUAAUUGACUAAGCCUGCGUCAGUAAACACCCCGAAGCAUCAAAGAAACACACAGAGAGUGUAAGACAGAAGCCAAGAGUCUUCUCCAGGGUGGAAAUAGCCUGAAGAUGUCUGCAUGGAUGAGGAAGGAAGAGGGCUGUUUACUUUCCGAGUUUGCAAGAACAUCCAACAGCUGGAUGCUUGGAACUUUGCACAGAUGUGGACUUUAGCUCAAAGCCCCUUUUCUCUGGCAUCAAGAAGCACUCACUCCCCUCCUCUCCCCCCCCCCACACUUCUGCUUGGCUUCAGUGUAUUUUCCUGAUUUGCUUUUUAAAAGCCUACUCCUAGGCUUCAAAGGGUGGCAGAUAGAGGCAGCCUGGAAGGCCAGGGUGUCCACUGGUGCAGGAGUCUCUGCGAGUGCCUGACUGUUUGAAGGGGCUUCAUAAACAAAGAAAAAAAAAGAA